RNAcentral lists this transfer RNA (71 nucleotides) under Loxodonta africana (African savanna elephant). It matches the Rfam family "tRNA". From Rfam's summary of the family: Transfer RNA (tRNA) molecules are approximately 80 nucleotides in length. Their secondary structure includes four short double-helical elements and three loops (D, anti-codon, and T loops). Further hydrogen bonds mediate the characteristic L-shaped molecular structure. tRNAs have two regions of fundamental functional importance: the anti-codon, which is responsible for specific mRNA codon recognition, and the 3' end, to which the tRNAs corresponding amino acid is attached (by aminoacyl-tRNA synthetases). tRNAs cope with the degeneracy of the genetic code in two manners: having more than one tRNA (with a specific anti-codon) for a particular amino acid; and 'wobble' base-pairing, i.e. permitting non-standard base-pairing at the 3rd anti-codon position. Lineage: Eukaryota; Metazoa; Chordata; Mammalia; Proboscidea; Elephantidae. The record is from Rfam by way of RNAcentral.
ACACUGGUGGUUCAGUGGUAGAAUUCUCACCUUCCGUGCAGAAGACCUGGAUUCAAUUCCCAGCCAAGGUG